RNAcentral lists this ribosomal RNA (465 nucleotides) under uncultured bacterium. Its description in RNAcentral is "bacterial SSU rRNA". It matches the Rfam family "Bacterial small subunit ribosomal RNA", at positions 335 to 798 of the family's 1533-position model. The record is from RNAcentral.
ACUCCUACGGGAGGCAGCAGUGAGGAAUAUUGGUCAAUGGGCGCAAGCCUGAACCAGCCAUGCCGCGUGCAGGAAGACUGCCCUAUGGGUUGUAACUGCUUUUAUACAGGAAGAAACACUCGGACGUGUCCGAGCUUGACGGUACUGUAAGAAUAAGGAUCGGCUAACUCCGUGCCAGCAGCCGCGGUAAUACGGAGGAUCCAAGCGUUAUCCGGAAUCAUUGGGUUUAAAGGUCCGUAGGUGGAUUAGUAAGUCAGAGGUGAAAGCCUGCAGCUCAACUGUAGAACUGCCUUUGAUACUGCUAGUCUUGAGUCAUUAUGAAGUGGUUAGAAUGUGUAGUGUAGCGGUGAAAUGCAUAGAUAUUACACAGAAUACCGAUUGCGAAGGCAGAUCACUAAUAAUGUACUGACACUGAUGGACGAAGCGUGGGGAGCGAACAGGAUUAGAUACCCUGGUAGCGACUGA